Long non-coding RNA from Triticum dicoccoides, 4819 nucleotides. RefSeq lists it as uncharacterized. The record is from RefSeq and is a predicted model, not a curated record. The transcript is spliced from 2 exons. Lineage: Eukaryota; Viridiplantae; Streptophyta; Magnoliopsida; Poales; Poaceae.
CCCUUUGGGGCCUGGCACUUCUCUAUCUCCCUCACCACUUCUUCUUCCACCUCCGGCCGCUGCCGCGGCCAGGACGGCAUGGCGGCGCGCCACCCAGUACCUCCACCCGCUCCACAACGCCGCCGCACCGCGCCACCCAGUACCUCCACCCGCUCCACAACGCCGCCGCACCUCCACCCGCGCUACCACAACCCAUCCAUCCACCGGCGCCAUCACAUCCAGCCACCAUCACCUCGCGCGCCCUACCAGACUAGAGGUUCUGGUUGUAUGGUGCCCUGCGCGAGUCUGUCCUCCCUCUCUCUUGUUGCCGCUCCUCCCUCUUGCUUCGUCCCGCUGCUCUUCUUCUUCCCCUCGCCUUCCUCAACUGUUGCUGCUCCCUUCUUCCCCCAAACUCUGCUGCUGCAUCUUCCUUCUUCUCCUUGUCCCUACUACUGCUGAACCACUCCUCCUCUUAUUGUGUCUCUGCUGGUCGCUGCUCCCCUACUGCCGAUCCUUUCCUCAACUCUCUCUACUUCUCCUCUCAUGCCACUCCUGCUGCUUCUCCUCAACGCCCCUGCUGCCUCUGAUUCUUCUCUUAACUAGAACCCUUGCUGUUCUCUCUCUCUCUCUCCCUAAAUUUUCUGUAUAGUUGAGAUUGUGUAAGACAUGCAAGAUUCAGAUUUGAGUGUGUCUCAUGUAAUAGUUCAUAUUAUAGCUUGUGAAUUUUGUGUUGAAUGUGCUCUCUAUUAGGCAAGCAAUAUGUUUGAUUUCCAAUUCCUGUGAUAGCUCCUUAAUUGUCAUAAAUAUAUGUUCUCUUGUGAAAGAUUUCUGUUCUUGUCCCGUUAUCUUUGUUCUGUCUUUUUCUUAUAUAUAAUUGCUAGUUAUCUUUGUGAUCGUAUCUUGUUACUUCUUUUCUGUCGAUGAUGAUGACCUGUGUUAGUAUUUUAGAUUGUCUCAAGUAAAGCAAAAUUACCAAAAAGAUAAUGAGUAAAAAUCUGAUUCACCCUUUGCUUAUUUUGCAUUUUCUUUGGCGGUGAUCUUAGGGAACUACCUUGUUUAAUUUAGGUUUAUAUUUCCUUGCAAUCAUCUUCUAAAUUGUGUUACCUAGCUUUAGCCAAAUAUAGUUUCCGUCGCCUAGUCCCUGUGGAGAACACGACAUCCGUAGUUUGGGCAAAAUAUUCCACUACAUUUACAAUCGAUCAUUUUGGCGCCGUUGCCGGGGACUAGCGUCAUGCGAUUGUGUUAGGCUAUAGACUAGGUUUUUCUUCUUUCUCUAGUUUGUGCCAUAUAUUUGUGAUAUAUCUCUAACCACUAACCCAUGUUCUAGCUAGUAUCUUUUUGUUUUCUUUUCCUUUUGCAGGUUAGAGCUAUCUACUCGGUUAUGUCAUAUUAUUCAGAUUGUCUCGGAGAUGCGAGGAACACUACAAACAUCACACAAAGUAUUUAAGAACUGAUAAUUAUCCAUUGCAGGGAAUUAGGUACAAUGAGGAGAGCAACAACUAUGCACCACAACAAUUUUAUUCAGCUCCUAUUCAUGUACCUCAACACCGGAAGAUGUGUCCAAUGGAGUUAAAUGGUCCUCCAUUUGGUCAACCAACACCUUCAACACAAGUGCCCAAACAAGAUGAGUUCGAUGACAUAGACAAGCUCGCACUUUUGAGUCUCGAGUUCACUUGGAGUGCCGAGGAUGAUCCUAUUAGGAAGGUUAUACUAGAGUAAAUGAAGAAGAUCAAGAGUGGGAAUGAGCUAGUGGAAGAACUGAAGAAGAUUGAGAAUAACAUCAACGCUGGCAGUACUAUUUCUUCACAGCUUGAGCUGAGUAAUUCUCGGAUUCCCCUUGAUACAUGUGAGGUUCCAAUACCGUCACAUCUAGCUGAGCAAGAUAGCAAGUGCCUUGAGCAAGAGAUACCUCAGAUUGAAGAAGAUGAACUAGAAGACAAGGAACAAGAUGAUCAAGAGCUGCAAUUCCCAAGUGAUCAAGUUGAAGACUCAUCAUCUACUACUCCUGAAGAAGUACAAGAAGCUGCUGUAGAUGAAGAUGAAGAACCUGAGAUUCAUUGGCCUAUUGUCAUACAUGAGCGUGAUGUGUCAGGUUUACCCAAUCCUCUUGAUGACAUGCGUCCGUAUAAUUUCUUUGCUACUACCUUACAUUACAUGAUACCAUCACUUAGGAUUGAUUUGAAAACUCAUUUGCUUGGAUAUGAUGAUAUAUACACUGUUAGUGGCAUUACUCUCAUUUGUGAUGAUCAUAGUUAUUUUCCUCGUGCUAGUCCUAUGCUUAAUGAAACAUAUAAUUCCCAUGCUAGUCUUGAGCUUAAUGAUAAAUAUCAUCCUCAUGUUAGUGUUGAACUUGCCGAUUUCUACCAUCCUAAACAUGUGCUUUAUAGCUAUGCUUAUGUAAUUGAAUAUUCGAUUGAUGACUUGGAGGGUAUUAUCCCUCCACUUGCAUUGUCUCUUUAAUUGAGUGCUCUUUCAGGUUCUUGCUUGUGCAUGAAUCACUACAUGCUAACCAGGUUCGAGGUGACAUUCCUUGGGACCUUGGUGGAUCCUGAGCACAGAGAUGAGGAUAAGCAAUGGGCACACACGUGAGGAAGGGAGAAGCUAGAGCAGGCAUGAGGAUAGAUAAGCAAAAGGAGAGGAGCUGCAGUUGGUGAGGUGAUCGAGCGAGUGCUACAUCAUCAAUGCCCAGUGAGCUGUUUCAUGACCCAUUUUGAAAUCACCAUCCAUUGAUGCUUGUUGAAUUAAAUUGCUAUGUGGGUUGCUUGUGCCAUUUCUUAAAUGUCGUCCCACUGAAUUUCACCUUUGACAUAUGGUGCUUGAUGAGAAUAUGCGAACUGAUUGUUGAAUGCCUAGUAAACUAGUGAUCUACACCCUGUUUGCUUUGCUGAAAGUAGUGAAAGCUGUUAGUUUUGAGUUCUCAAAUCCCUAGUGCACUAGUAAACUUAAUCAUUUUCUGCUUUUACCUUGAUACACUUAGAUCAUUAAGUGUUAGAUGCUGAGUUUGUGCCUAUUGUGUUCCCAUUGAGAGCAAUCACUUUACCACUAUGGACUAGUAUGCUAUGUUCCCUGGAUCGGUAGCAUGUGAACCAGACAUGGAGAAGUGAUGAUUCCUGUUUUUGUGCUUAUGUGUUGUUCAUUUAAGAUAAGUAAUAAUGAAUAAAUCAGUCUGACUACCUACAAUAGCAUGUCAUGUUCCCUGGAUCGGUGGCAUGUGAAAUCGGUUUAGCUUGGGCAGUAAUUAAUAAUGAAAAUUGCAAUUGUCAAACCAGGUGUAUACCAUGUUCUCUGGAUUGGUGGUAUGUUCCUUUGGGGAGACAAACAAAAAAACUAAUAAUUGGUCGAGCCGGGUGUAUACCAUGUUCUCGGGAUCGGUGGUAUGUUCCUUUGGUGAGAUCGAUAAAAUAUUAUCAUUGCUUUAUUUCUGUAAAUAAGUGAUCUGAUCACCAGUGUAUGUUCUUUUUGUUCUCGGGAUCAUGCUCUCUUUAGGAACCUUUGGCACAAUCAUCAUUUGAACUAGUUGAUCUUCUUUUAUCAUUGUAGAAGUUUAAAAUGGUCAAGUCUACUAGUAUCCUACCACUUUGAAGCACUCCUAACCAUUAAUUUUCACUAGCUAAGUCCAAAGCAUGGACUGUUUAGAGAUCUACUUCACUUGGCAUUCUCUAGUCAGCUCAUUGUUCACAUUCUUGCUCUUGUCAUAUGCCUUUGCUUGAGGACAAGAAAACGUUUAAGUGUGGGGGAACUUGAUCAACACAUUUUAUAUACAUCUCUUGGACCUCAAAUGUACGGUUCACUGAGAUAUAUUCAUUCAUUUCGUGCUAUGAAUUAUUCCAUAUUUGAAUGAAAAUCAUAUAAAAGGAUCAUUUACUUGUGACUUGUUUCUUUUGCAGAAAAGUGCGCAAAGGCACUAUAAUCGUCAAGAUUUCUACUAUGUGGCUAACGAGAAGAGAGAAGGGCAGGAAAGAAAUACGUCAAGGACCUGAGUGUGAAGGAAAGAAGUAAUCUAGGGGAGCAAACUAAAAAAGAGGAGGAUCUUCUUGGGCAGAAAUGAAGAGAAGAGGAGGGCCAAUGUGCAAAUGUGGCAACUCAGAGUGGGGAACAAAAUCCCUAGCCGCAACACUUGAUCCCUUUGGGGCCUAGCACUUCUCUCUCUCCCUCACCACUUCUUCUUCCACCACCGGCCGCCGCCGCGGCCAAGCCAGUGUGGCGGCGCGCCACCCAGUACCUCCACCAGCUCCACUACGCCGCAGCACCUCCACCCGCGCUACCGCAACCCAUCCAUCCACCGACACCAUCACAUCCAGCCACCAUCACCUCGCGCUCCCUACCAGACUAGAGGUCGUGGUUGUAUGGUGCCCUGCGCGAGUCUUACCUCCCUCUCUCUUGUUGCUGCUCCUCCCUCUUGCUUCGUCCUGCUGCUUCUCUUCUUCCCCUUGCCUUCCUCAACUGCUGCUGCUCCCUUCUUCCCCCAAACUCUUCUGCUGCAUCUUCCUUCUUCUCCUUGUCCCUACUACUACUGCUGAACCGCUCCUCCUCUUGUUGUGACUCUGCUGCUCGCUGCUCCCCUACUGCUGAUCCUUUCCUCAACUCUCUCUGCUCCUUCUCUCAUGCCACUGCUGUUGCUCCUCCUCAACGCCCCCUGCUGCCUCUCAUUCUUCUCUUAACUAGAACCCUUGCUAUUCUCCCUCUCUCUCUCCCUGAAUUUUCUAUAUAAUUGAGAUUGUGUAAGACGUGCAAGGUUCAGAUUUGAGUGUGUGUCAUGUAAUAGUUCAGAUUAUAGCUUGUGAAUUUUGUGUUGAAUGUGCUCUCUGUUAGGUAAGCAAUAUGAAUGUAUUUGAUUUCC